This 62-nucleotide small RNA is filed under the name Citrobacter rodentium ICC168. Its description in RNAcentral is "Pseudomonas sRNA P26". It matches the Rfam family "Pseudomonas sRNA P26". Rfam says of the family: P26 is conserved across many Gammaproteobacteria species and appears to be consistently located between the DNA directed RNA polymerase (beta subunit) and 50S ribosomal protein L7/L12 genes. The record is from Rfam by way of RNAcentral. Lineage: Bacteria; Pseudomonadati; Pseudomonadota; Gammaproteobacteria; Enterobacterales; Enterobacteriaceae.
ACCCUUCCGGUUGCAGCCUGAGAGAUCAGGCUGAUGGCUGGUGACUUUUUAGUCACCAGCCU